GACGAACGCUGGCGGCGUGCUUAACACAUGCAAGUCGAACGAAGAGCGAUGGAAGCUUGCUUCUAUCAAUCUUAGUGGCGAACGGGUGAGUAACGCGUAAUCAACCUGCCCUUCAGAGGGGGACAACAGUUGGAAACGACUGCUAAUACCGCAUACGAUCUAAUCUCGGCAUCGAGGAUAGAUGAAAGGUGGCCUCUACAUGUAAGCUAUCACUGAAGGAGGGGAUUGCGUCUGAUUAGCUAGUUGGAGGGGUAACGGCCCACCAAGGCGAUGAUCAGUAGCCGGUCUGAGAGGAUGAACGGCCACAUUGGGACUGAGACACGGCCCAGACUCCUACGGGAGGCAGCAGUGGGGAAUCUUCCGCAAUGGACGAAAGUCUGACGGAGCAACGCCGCGGGAGUGAUGACGGCCUUCGGGUUGUAAAGCUCUGUUAAUCGGGACGAAAGGCCUUCUUGCGAACAGUUAGAAGGAUUGACGGUACCGGAAUAGAAAGCCACGGCUAACUACGUG
This 510-nucleotide ribosomal RNA is filed under the name uncultured bacterium. Its description in RNAcentral is "partial 16S ribosomal RNA". It matches the Rfam family "Bacterial small subunit ribosomal RNA", at positions 28 to 507 of the family's 1533-position model. The record is from RNAcentral.